GGCCACACCAAUUUAAUUUCUUGUUCUACGGAUUUUUGGACUCCAAAAAUUGGGGCGAGCGAGCGAUUUGAAAAUUUUAAUAAAAAAAAUAUUUAUUUUGCAAAUUUUUGAGGCGAAGCUUGAAAAGUAAAGGCGAGCGAUUAUAUUUUUUUUUUUGUAAACAUAAAAUAGUAGGUUUUGACAAUAUUAAAACUUGAUUUAUCACUUGUACUUUGACAUUUUUUUAAUUUAUGAAGUAUUUUUCCCUGUUCACCAAAUAAAUAAUUGAAUAAUUAGAUUUGGUAUAUGUAUGUGUGCCAAUUAAUGAGACAAUUCUCCAUCCAAGUCAUAAUCAGGUUGGGAACAACCCCUCAAUUUUAUAAAUAUCCUUUUUAUGAGGGGUCAA
This 385-nucleotide long non-coding RNA is filed under the name Mytilus galloprovincialis (Mediterranean mussel). Lineage: Eukaryota; Metazoa; Mollusca; Bivalvia; Mytilida; Mytilidae. The record is from RNAcentral.